AAAGGGCUUCUAACCAAGGGUCGGCUUAUUAAUUAUAGAAUCGCUAUGGACCCUUCAUGCCUGCUCGCUCUGUGAUGUUGCUCUUAAAACUUUUAACCAUCUCUUCUUUCAGUGCCCUUACUCCUUUCAAGUUCUUGUCUCGAUCUUAAGAUUUUGUGGAUGGAGAAGUUUUAGUCGUAGUUGGGCAGACAUUACACGGUUCUUGGGUUUCAGCACGAGUGGUAAGGUCCAGUUUCACCUAAUCCACCUGUCUUUUGUAGUGGUAGUCUAUAAUUUAUGGGCUGAGCGCAAUAAUAGACUGCAUGAUAAUAUUUCCCUCCCGCCCAAAUCUAUUGUGCAAAUCACUCUAAGUUUAAUUAAAUGUGCUAAAUUUCAAAAAAUUGAAGUCUAAAUUUAUUCAUUUGGCCUUUUAAGUUAACUAAGUUGGUUCCUGGGCUGCAGAUGUUGCUUUUCUUUAUACAUUUGUUUGUUUGGAAUAUGAUUCGCUGUAGUAGAAAUGGGUGUUUCUGUGCAGCUGUGUUGGAGCUGGUUUGGUUGUAUUUGUUAUGCUUGGUUCUAUCCAGUUCUAUUGUGGAUGAUUAAAUAGGUAUGGGCUGCAUGCUUCCUUUGAGGUGGUUCGGUUUGGAUGGAAAUGCCCUGAUGCUGUUGGGCGAUGUGUUGCUACAACGAUGUCGGGCUGGACGAUGUGCUGCUACUGUCGAACAAUUCUUCAUUGUACUGCUUGCUUUUAUAAUCAUUUGUAUUGGUGUUAAGUAAGAGAUUAGAUGUCAAAAUAUAAGUAUGGGGAUAAAAGAGGACAUGAGAAUUGGGUACAGAGGAUCUGCUCUCGUUCUACAUGGUCAUUCAUGAUGCCUA
Molecule: long non-coding RNA, 855 nt
Filed under: Panax ginseng (ginseng)
Lineage: Eukaryota; Viridiplantae; Streptophyta; Magnoliopsida; Apiales; Araliaceae
Description: long non-coding RNA (PGIN_LNC017277)
Source: RNAcentral